UCAGCGGGUAUUAAUUCCAUUCUAUUUCCAGGUUGAACAUCCAUCAGAAGCGAGGUGGCUCUUGCCUGGGGCUUCGCAGAGAAGCCCAAGGGGGAAGAAAGAAGAUACGCAUGGGCCCUAGGCCAGCUACUUUCAGGCAGCACCUGCAGGAAGCUGGCCAGAUUGUGUAAGACUUGGAGCUGCAGUCAAGAUUCCAGUAACAGAAAGAGCCCAUGGGCACCCAGCAUUCAACAGGACUUUUGGCUACCUGGACUGACCUUGCUUGGAGCACAGGAAGACGGUAACAGAGCAGAGCACAGCCCACUGGCAGCCUGCUGGUUCCUUGCCUUCUCUCUCUACCUGUGUCUGGGGAUCACAGGUAAGUCCUCUACAGGGUUCUACACAAGAGUUUAGUGAGCACAUUCUGGGAC
Molecule: long non-coding RNA, 410 nt
Filed under: Mustela putorius furo (domestic ferret)
Lineage: Eukaryota; Metazoa; Chordata; Mammalia; Carnivora; Mustelidae
Description: lncRNA (ENSMPUG00000028798.1)
Source: RNAcentral